RNAcentral lists this ribosomal RNA (523 nucleotides) under uncultured Dechloromonas sp. Its description in RNAcentral is "bacterial SSU rRNA". It matches the Rfam family "Bacterial small subunit ribosomal RNA", at positions 62 to 580 of the family's 1533-position model. Lineage: Bacteria; Pseudomonadati; Pseudomonadota; Betaproteobacteria; Rhodocyclales; Azonexaceae. The record is from RNAcentral.
UCGAACGGUAACAGGGAGCUUGCUCCGCUGACGAGUGGCGAACGGGUGAGUAACGUAUCGGAACGUACCUUUCAGUGGGGGAUAACGCAGCGAAAGUUGCGCUAAUACCGCAUAUUCUGUGAGCAGGAAAGCAGGGGAUCGCAAGACCUUGCGCUGAUUGAGCGGCCGAUAUCAGAUUAGCUAGUUGGUGAGGUAAAGGCUCACCAAGGCGACGAUCUGUAGCGGGUCUGAGAGGAUGAUCCGCCACACUGGAACUGAGACACGGUCCAGACUCCUACGGGAGGCAGCAGUGGGGAAUUUUGGACAAUGGGGGCAACCCUGAUCCAGCCAUGCCGCGUGAGUGAAGAAGGCCUUCGGGUUGUAAAGCUCUUUCAGCCGGGAAGAAAUCGCACAGGCUAAUACCUUGUGUGGAUGACGGUACCGGAAUAAGAAGCACCGGCUAACUACGUGCCAGCAGCCGCGGUAAUACGUAGGGUGCGAGCGUUAAUCGGAAUUACUGGGCGUAAAGCGUGCGCAGGCGGUU